Molecule: non-coding RNA, 71 nt
Organism: Agrobacterium radiobacter
Lineage: Bacteria; Pseudomonadati; Pseudomonadota; Alphaproteobacteria; Hyphomicrobiales; Rhizobiaceae
Source: Rfam
CAGGCAUGCUGGAGCUCCGCAGCGGCGCCUGGGACGAAAUCGCCCGACACCGUAAUCAUAUCGGAGCUUAA